RNAcentral lists this ribosomal RNA (451 nucleotides) under uncultured Fibrobacter sp. RNAcentral describes it as "bacterial SSU rRNA". It matches the Rfam family "Bacterial small subunit ribosomal RNA", at positions 341 to 792 of the family's 1533-position model. Lineage: Bacteria; Pseudomonadati; Fibrobacterota; Fibrobacteria; Fibrobacterales; Fibrobacteraceae. The record is from RNAcentral.
ACGGGAGGCAGCAGUAGGGAAUAUUGCACAAUGGGGGGAACCCUGAUGCAGCAACGCCACGUGUGGGAAGAAGCAUUUCGGUGUGUAAACCACUGUCGUGAGGGAAUAAUGCUUGAUUUCGGUCAAGUUGAAUGUACCUCGAAAGGAAGCACCGGCAAACUUCGUGCCAGCAGCCGCGGUAAUACGAGGGGUGCAAGCGUUGUUCGGAAUCACUGGGCGUAAAGGGGGCGUAGGCGGAGACGCAAGCAGUCUGUACAAUACCGGGGCCCAACCCCGGACCUGCAGACUGGACUGUGUCUCUUGGAUAGUUCAGGGGCAGGCGGAAUUCCUGGUGUAGCGGUGGAAUGCGUAGAGAUCAGGAGGAACAUCAGUGGCGAAGGCGGCCUGCUGGGGACUCAUCGACGCUGAGGCUCGAAAGUGCGGGUAGCAAACAGGAUUAGAUACCCUGGUA